UUGGCUAAUCCUGGUCGGACAUCAGGAGGUUAGUGCAAUGGCAUAAGCCAGCUUGACUGCGAGCGUGACGGCGCGAGCAGGUGCGAAAGCAGGUCAUAGUGAUCCGGUGGUUCUGAAUGGAAGGGCCAUCGCUCAACGGAUAAAAGGUACUCCGGGGAUAACAGGCUGAUACCGCCCAAGAGUUCAUAUCGACGGCGGUGUUUGGCACCUCGAUGUCGGCUCAUCACAUCCUGGGGCUGAAGUAGGUCCCAAGGGUAUGGCUGUUCGCCAUUUAAAGUGGUACGCGAGCUGGGUUUAGAACGUCGUGAGACAGUUCGGUCCCUA
Molecule: ribosomal RNA, 324 nt
Filed under: Escherichia coli
Lineage: Bacteria; Pseudomonadati; Pseudomonadota; Gammaproteobacteria; Enterobacterales; Enterobacteriaceae
Also listed under: 1 other name
Description: partial 23S ribosomal RNA
Rfam family: Bacterial large subunit ribosomal RNA
Source: RNAcentral